This is a long non-coding RNA of Vigna unguiculata (cowpea), 1485 nucleotides long. RefSeq lists it as uncharacterized. Lineage: Eukaryota; Viridiplantae; Streptophyta; Magnoliopsida; Fabales; Fabaceae. The record is from RefSeq and is a predicted model, not a curated record.
UCGAAUUUUGUGUGGAGGAAAUAGAGAAAACAUGGCUUAGUAGGAGCUUUAUAGGAAGGUUGCAUGAUAUGAACAAAAUUGAUACGUUAAAGGAAAACUUCUUUCUUAAUGGCUUACAUUUCAAUAUGUGAAGCCAAAUAUGGAAAGUCAAGAUACUAAUACAUACUAUGGUCUGAGUGACUAUCAUGAUAACACUAAAAUAGAAGGAAAUCAUUUUUCGUCUGCUACGAAGGACAACCUAUUUCCCUCUCAUUUCCAACCUUAUUUCCAUGACGAGGGAAGGGUGGGAAGAACCACCGCAAUUUCACAAUCACUCAUUUCUCUCCCUAAACCCUUUCUCUUCUCCUUGUUUCCUCCAUGGAGGAGAAAAGACGUGACGCUACCCCCUCCAUUAUUGCAGUGAUUUUGGCGUUUCGUGCUGCAACAAGCUAUAAGCUCUGUGUUAUCGUUUGUGUGUUUGAUGUUGGUUUCUUUUUGCUGUUGACCAAGGGUGAUAGUUGGCAAUUCUCCUCUUGCUCUCUCUCGUGACAAUACACAAAACAGUGAUAGAGAUGAGUUCCUCUCACUUGAAUUUAAUGAUCUUCAUGCUUGAAGUUCAUGUAAUUACUAAUUGACAUAAUUAGGUGUUGCUUUUAGUUUUUCUUAACCUGGUUUUAACUUGAAGUCCAUGUCAUACCCAUAGUGGUGGUUAUUUUAACUUUUUAUAAUGUGGUUAUGAUGAUUAAAAUAUUUUUUUUAUGUAGUCAUUGGUCAGUUUUACAUUUUAAUAGGUUCAAUGCCUAUUUAUGCUACAUGUUUAGAAUUAUUGUGUUCUUGGAAACCUCAAAUAAAGGGAGCACUUAUGUUUCAUGAUUUACUCUAUCUAAUUGCAGCAGAAAAUAGUGCCAGUGGUGCAAUAGUUGUAGGAGCUGCUGGUGCGUUGGUGAAAUUAUUGGAGGGAGUUUGACGUGCAUUGGUGAAACAGUGAUAGAGCUGCAAAAUAGAUUGAAAGCAAGUAUUGUGUAGGCUGAACUUGAGAUUGCAUAAGCGCAAGUGAAAUUGUUUAAUGAGAAAAUUAGGUAUGAAGUUGAAUAGAACAAGGAGCAUAUCAUAAAUCUUCAACAAAAAGUUUCCAGGUUGCAAGACUAACAAUGAAGAUAUGUUGCUUAUGAUAUGUUGCAUAAAUCUUCAUUACCAUUCAAUUUUCUGACUCUCUUUUUUUUCCUCUUUCUACAUCUUCCCUUUUGCUUUUACUUAUUACUCAGUCAUUUUCUUUCAUAAAAGUAGCUUUUUCAGUAUUCCUUUUGCUUCGUCAUCUUAAAAUAUCCAAAUCCCUAUUCAAUUGCCCCAAAUAAACGGUAAAUUUCUUAAUCAGUAUCUCAAAGCACUGUUAGAUCCAGACAUGAUAGAAAAAAAAUAAAUAAACACUUUUAGUUUGUCUUUUGCACAUAGUAAGUUUCAUCUUUUAAGACUUAUAUUAGAAUUUUCAGCAUACUUUUCUCUACA